Molecule: long non-coding RNA, 5308 nt
Filed under: Struthio camelus australis
Lineage: Eukaryota; Metazoa; Chordata; Aves; Struthioniformes; Struthionidae
Description: lncRNA (ENSSCUG00000016307.1)
Source: RNAcentral
AUGUCACCAUGGACCUCAUAUCCCUCCAUGUUCCCGACGUUCCCCUGUGUUCCUCCACGUCCCCACUGUCCCCAACGCGUCCCAGUGCCAACGGGUCACCAAUGUUCCCAACGCGUCCCCAGUGCGUCCUCAAAGUGUCCCCGACGUGUCCCCCAUGUCCCCAAUGCGUCCCAAACGCGUCCCCCGUGUCCCCGACGUGUCCCCCAUGUCCCCAACGCGUCCCCUAUGUCCCCAACGCGUCCCCCAUGUCCCCGACGCCCCCCCAGUGUCCCCAACGCGUCCCCACGUACUGCAGUCGUACUGGAUGAGGCGCAGGUCGGGGAAGUGGGUGCGCAUGUUGGCCACGACGCGGUGCAGCCCACGUCCUCCAUGUCCCCAACGCGUCCCCAACGCGUCCCCCAUGUCCCCAACGCCCCCCACAGUGUCCCCAACGCGUCCCCACGUACCGCAGUCGUACUGGAUGAGGCGCAGGUCGGGGAAGUGGGUGCGCAUGUUGGCCACGACGCGGUGCAGCCCACGUCCUCCAUGUCCCCAACGCGUCCCCAACGCGUCCCCCAUGUCCCCAACGCCCCCCACAGUGUCCCCAACGCGUCCCCACGUACCGCAGUCGUACUGGAUGAGGCGCAGGUCGGGGAAGUGGGUGCGCAUGUUGGCCACGACGCGGUGCAGCCCACGUCCUCCAUGUCCCCAACGCGUCCCCAACGCGUCCCCCAUGUCCCCAACGCCCCCCACAGUGUCCCCAACGCGUCCCCACGUACCGCAGUCGUACUGGAUGAGGCGCAGGUCGGGGAAGUGGGUGCGCAUGUUGGCCACGACGCGGUGCAGCCCACGUCCUCCAUGUCCCCAACGCGUCCCCAACGCGUCCCCCAUGUCCCCAACGCCCCCCACAGUGUCCCCAACGCGUCCCCACGUACCGCAGUCGUACUGGAUGAGGCGCAGGUCGGGGAAGUGGGUGCGCAUGUUGGCCACGACGCGGUGCAGCCCACGUCCUCCAUGUCCCCAACGCGUCCCCAACGCGUCCCCCAUGUCCCCAACGCCCCCCACAGUGUCCCCAACGCGUCCCCACGUACCGCAGUCGUACUGGAUGAGGCGCAGGUCGGGGAAGUGGGUGCGCAUGUUGGCCACGACGCGGUGCAGCCCACGUCCUCCAUGUCCCCAACGCGUCCCCAACGCGUCCCCCAUGUCCCCAACGCCCCCCACAGUGUCCCCAACGCGUCCCCACGUACCGCAGUCGUACUGGAUGAGGCGCAGGUCGGGGAAGUGGGUGCGCAUGUUGGCCACGACGCGGUGCAGCCCACGUCCUCCAUGUCCCCAACGCGUCCCCAACGCGUCCCCCAUGUCCCCAACGCCCCCCACAGUGUCCCCAACGCGUCCCCACGUACCGCAGUCGUACUGGAUGAGGCGCAGGUCGGGGAAGUGGGUGCGCAUGUUGGCCACGACGCGGUGCAGCCCACGUCCUCCAUGUCCCCAACGCGUCCCCAACGCGUCCCCCAUGUCCCCAACGCCCCCCACAGUGUCCCCAACGCGUCCCCACGUACCGCAGUCGUACUGGAUGAGGCGCAGGUCGGGGAAGUGGGUGCGCAUGUUGGCCACGACGCGGUGCAGCCCACGUCCUCCAUGUCCCCAACGCGUCCCCAACGCGUCCCCCAUGUCCCCAACGCCCCCCACAGUGUCCCCAACGCGUCCCCACGUACCGCAGUCGUACUGGAUGAGGCGCAGGUCGGGGAAGUGGGUGCGCAUGUUGGCCACGACGCGGUGCAGCCCACGUCCUCCAUGUCCCCAACGCGUCCCCAACGCGUCCCCCAUGUCCCCAACGCCCCCCACAGUGUCCCCAACGCGUCCCCACGUACCGCAGUCGUACUGGAUGAGGCGCAGGUCGGGGAAGUGGGUGCGCAUGUUGGCCACGACGCGGUGCAGCCCACGUCCUCCAUGUCCCCAACGCGUCCCCAACGCGUCCCCCAUGUCCCCAACGCCCCCCACAGUGUCCCCAACGCGUCCCCACGUACCGCAGUCGUACUGGAUGAGGCGCAGGUCGGGGAAGUGGGUGCGCAUGUUGGCCACGACGCGGUGCAGCCCACGUCCUCCAUGUCCCCAACGCGUCCCCAACGCGUCCCCCAUGUCCCCAACGCCCCCCACAGUGUCCCCAACGCGUCCCCACGUACCGCAGUCGUACUGGAUGAGGCGCAGGUCGGGGAAGUGGGUGCGCAUGUUGGCCACGACGCGGUGCAGCCCACGUCCUCCAUGUCCCCAACGCGUCCCCAACGCGUCCCCCAUGUCCCCAACGCCCCCCACAGUGUCCCCAACGCGUCCCCACGUACCGCAGUCGUACUGGAUGAGGCGCAGGUCGGGGAAGUGGGUGCGCAUGUUGGCCACGACGCGGUGCAGCCCACGUCCUCCAUGUCCCCAACGCGUCCCCAACGCGUCCCCCAUGUCCCCAACGCCCCCCACAGUGUCCCCAACGCGUCCCCACGUACCGCAGUCGUACUGGAUGAGGCGCAGGUCGGGGAAGUGGGUGCGCAUGUUGGCCACGACGCGGUGCAGCCCACGUCCUCCAUGUCCCCAACGCGUCCCCAACGCGUCCCCCAUGUCCCCAACGCCCCCCACAGUGUCCCCAACGCGUCCCCACGUACCGCAGUCGUACUGGAUGAGGCGCAGGUCGGGGAAGUGGGUGCGCAUGUUGGCCACGACGCGGUGCAGCCCACGUCCUCCAUGUCCCCAACGCGUCCCCAACGCGUCCCCCAUGUCCCCAACGCCCCCCACAGUGUCCCCAACGCGUCCCCACGUACCGCAGUCGUACUGGAUGAGGCGCAGGUCGGGGAAGUGGGUGCGCAUGUUGGCCACGACGCGGUGCAGCCCACGUCCUCCAUGUCCCCAACGCGUCCCCAACGCGUCCCCCAUGUCCCCAACGCCCCCCACAGUGUCCCCAACGCGUCCCCACGUACCGCAGUCGUACUGGAUGAGGCGCAGGUCGGGGAAGUGGGUGCGCAUGUUGGCCACGACGCGGUGCAGCCCACGUCCUCCAUGUCCCCAACGCGUCCCCAACGCGUCCCCCAUGUCCCCAACGCCCCCCACAGUGUCCCCAACGCGUCCCCACGUACCGCAGUCGUACUGGAUGAGGCGCAGGUCGGGGAAGUGGGUGCGCAUGUUGGCCACGACGCGGUGCAGCCCACGUCCUCCAUGUCCCCAACGCGUCCCCAACGCGUCCCCCAUGUCCCCAACGCCCCCCACAGUGUCCCCAACGCGUCCCCACGUACCGCAGUCGUACUGGAUGAGGCGCAGGUCGGGGAAGUGGGUGCGCAUGUUGGCCACGACGCGGUGCAGCCCACGUCCUCCAUGUCCCCAACGCGUCCCCAACGCGUCCCCCAUGUCCCCAACGCCCCCCACAGUGUCCCCAACGCGUCCCCACGUACCGCAGUCGUACUGGAUGAGGCGCAGGUCGGGGAAGUGGGUGCGCAUGUUGGCCACGACGCGGUGCAGCCCACGUCCUCCAUGUCCCCAACGCGUCCCCAACGCGUCCCCCAUGUCCCCAACGCCCCCCACAGUGUCCCCAACGCGUCCCCACGUACCGCAGUCGUACUGGAUGAGGCGCAGGUCGGGGAAGUGGGUGCGCAUGUUGGCCACGACGCGGUGCAGCCCACGUCCUCCAUGUCCCCAACGCGUCCCCAACGCGUCCCCCAUGUCCCCAACGCCCCCCACAGUGUCCCCAACGCGUCCCCACGUACCGCAGUCGUACUGGAUGAGGCGCAGGUCGGGGAAGUGGGUGCGCAUGUUGGCCACGACGCGGUGCAGCCCACGUCCUCCAUGUCCCCAACGCGUCCCCAACGCGUCCCCCAUGUCCCCAACGCCCCCCACAGUGUCCCCAACGCGUCCCCACGUACCGCAGUCGUACUGGAUGAGGCGCAGGUCGGGGAAGUGGGUGCGCAUGUUGGCCACGACGCGGUGCAGCCCACGUCCUCCAUGUCCCCAACGCGUCCCCAACGCGUCCCCCAUGUCCCCAACGCCCCCCACAGUGUCCCCAACGCGUCCCCACGUACCGCAGUCGUACUGGAUGAGGCGCAGGUCGGGGAAGUGGGUGCGCAUGUUGGCCACGACGCGGUGCAGCCCACGUCCUCCAUGUCCCCAACGCGUCCCCAACGCGUCCCCCAUGUCCCCAACGCCCCCCACAGUGUCCCCAACGCGUCCCCACGUACCGCAGUCGUACUGGAUGAGGCGCAGGUCGGGGAAGUGGGUGCGCAUGUUGGCCACGACGCGGUGCGAGCAAGAUUGGGGGUGCUCAGAGCCAGAUUGGGGGGCUCAGAGCCAAAUUAGGGUGCUCAGAGCAAGAUUGGGGGUGCUCAGAGCCAGAUUGGGGGGCUCAGAGCCAAAUUAGGGUGCUCAGAGCAAGAUUGGGGGUGCUCAGAGCCAGAUUGGGGGGCUCAGAGCCAAAUUAGGGUGCUCAGAGCAAGAUUGGGGGUGCUCAGAGCCAGAUUGGGGGGCUCAGAGCCAAAUUAGGGUGCUCAGAGCAAGAUUGGGGGUGCUCAGAGCCAGAUUGGGGGGCUCAGAGCCAAAUUAGGGUGCUCAGAGCAAGAUUGGGGGUGCUCGGAGCCAGAUUGGGGGGCUCAGAGCCAAAUUAGGGUGCUCAGAGCAAGAUUGGGGGUGCUCGGAGCCAGAUUAGGGGGUUCAGAGCCAAAUUAGGGUGCUCAGAGCAAGAUUGGGGGUGCUCGGAGCCAGAUUAGGGGGUUCAGAGCCAAAUUAGGGUGCUCCGAGCAAGAUUGGGGGUGCUCGGAGUCAGACUGGGGGGUUCAGAGCCAGAUUGGGGUGCUCCGAGCAAGAUUGGGGGGCUCGGAGCAAGAUCGGGGGUGCUCACAGCCACAUUGGGGGGCUCAGAGCCAAAUUGGGGUGCUCACAGCCACAUUGGGGUGUCCAGAGCCAAGUCAGGGUGCUCAGAGCCAAACUGGGGUGCUCAGGACAAGAUUGGGGGUGCUCAGAGCUGGGUCAGGGUGCCCAGGGCCAGACGAGAGGACCCAGGGCCAAAUUAAGGUGCCAAAAUUAGGGUGCCCAGGGCCAGAUUAAGGUGCCAACGGCCAGCUCAGGGUGCUCAGAGCUGGGUCAGGGUGCCCAGACCCAGAUUAAGGUGCCCAGGGCCAACUCAGGGUGUCCAGAGGCAGAUUAAAGGUGCCCAGAUCCAGCUCAGGGUGCCCAGACUCAGAUUAAGGUGCCCAGGACCGAGUCAGGGUGCCCAGGGCCAGAUUAAGGUGCCCAGGGCCAGCUCAGGGUGCCCAGACAUAGCUCAGAGCACCCAGACACAGAUUAAGGUGCCCAGAGUCAG